UGUCCUUCAGGUGUCCCUCAGAUGUUCCUGGUGUCACUCAGGUGUCACCUGGAUGUCCCAGGUGUCCCCCAGAUGUCCCCCAGGUGUCCCUGAUGUCACUCAGGUGUCACCUGGAUGUCCCAGGUGUCCUUCAGGUGUCCCUCAGGUGUCCCAGGUGUCCCCCAGGUGUCACCCCCCAAUAAAGUCCCCAGUGCUGGUGACACCGCGGUGGCUUUGUCUGGGGGAGGGGACCCCAAAAUGGGGAGAGGGGACAUUGGGGACCCCAAAAAUGGGGAGGGGACCCCAAAAAUUGGGAUUGGGACAACUUGGGGACCCCCAAAAAUGGGGAGGGGACUUUGAGGACCCCAAAAAUUGGGAUUGGGAACCCAAAAAUUUGGAUUGGGACAAUUUGGGGACCCCAAAAAUGGGGAUGAGACAUUGAAGACCCCCAAAAAUGGGGAGGGGACCCCAAAAAUUGGGAUUGGGA
Molecule: long non-coding RNA, 466 nt
Organism: Poecile atricapillus (Black-capped chickadee)
Lineage: Eukaryota; Metazoa; Chordata; Aves; Passeriformes; Paridae
Exons: 3
Source: RefSeq, a predicted model, not a curated record